RNAcentral lists this ribosomal RNA (496 nucleotides) under uncultured bacterium. Its description in RNAcentral is "partial 16S ribosomal RNA". It matches the Rfam family "Bacterial small subunit ribosomal RNA", at positions 29 to 507 of the family's 1533-position model. The record is from RNAcentral.
AUGAACGCUGGCGGCGUGCCUCAUACAUGCAAGUCGAGCGAACAGACGAGGAGCUUGCUCCUCUGACGUUAGCGGCGGACGGGUGAGUAACACGUGGAUAACCUACCUAUAAGACUGGGAUAACUUCGGGAAACCGGAGCUAAUACCGGAUAAUAUAUUGAACCGCAUGGUUCAAUAGUGAAAGACGGUUUUGCUGUCACUUAUAGAUGGAUCCGCGCCGCAUUAGCUAGUUGGUAAGGUAACGGCUUACCAAGGCAACGAUGCGUAGCCGACCUGAGAGGGUGAUCGGCCACACUGGAACUGAGACACGAUCCAGACUCCUACGGGAGGCAGCAGUAGGGAAUCUUCCGCAAUGGGCGAAAGCCUGACGGAGCAACGCCGCGUGAGUGAUGAAGGUCUUCGGAUCGUAAAACUCUGUUAUUAGGGAAGAACAAAUGUGUAAGUAACUAUGCACGUCUUGACGGUACCUAAUCAGAAAGCCACGGCUAACUACGUG